RNAcentral lists this ribosomal RNA (457 nucleotides) under Gephyromantis sp. Ca17. RNAcentral's name for it is "partial large subunit ribosomal RNA". It matches the Rfam family "Bacterial large subunit ribosomal RNA", at positions 1942 to 2606 of the family's 2925-position model. The record is from RNAcentral. Lineage: Eukaryota; Metazoa; Chordata; Amphibia; Anura; Mantellidae.
CUAACCGCGCAAAGGUAGCAUAAUCACUUGUCUUUUAAAUGAAGACUCGUAUCAACGGCAUCACGAGGGUUCCACUGUCUCCUUUUUCUAAUCAGUGAAACUAAUCUACCCGUGAAGGCUUUAAACCUAGCUGCACCCCGCCACCCUUAUAUCCUCUACUAGCCGGGACCCUCAUGCCAGGUUUUAGGUUGGGGCGACCACGGAGCAUAAUUAAACCUCCACGAUGAACGAGCCUAAUCUCUUAUCUAAGAAGCACACCUCUAAGAAUUAGUAUUCUAACAUAAAAUGAUCCACUAUUGAUCAACGAACCAAGUUACCCUGGGGAUAACAGCGCAAUCCAUUUCAAGAGCCCUUAUCGACAAGUGGGUUUACGACCUCGAUGUUGGAUCAGGGUAUCCCAGUGGUGCAGCAGCUACUGAUGGUUCGUUUGUUCAACGAUUAAAACCCUACGUGAUCU